RNAcentral lists this ribosomal RNA (405 nucleotides) under uncultured bacterium. RNAcentral describes it as "partial 16S ribosomal RNA". It matches the Rfam family "Bacterial small subunit ribosomal RNA", at positions 30 to 526 of the family's 1533-position model. The record is from RNAcentral.
AUUGAACGCUAGCGGGAUGCUUUACACAUGCAAGUCGAACGAGUGGCGGACGGGUGAGUAAUAUAUCGGAACGUGCCCAGUAGCGGGGGAUAACUACUCGAAAGAGUGGCUAAUACCGCAUACUCUUGGAGCGGCCGAUAUCGGAUUGGCUAGUUGGUGGGGUAAAGGCUCACAAAGGCAACGAACCGUAGCUGGUUUGAGAGGACGACGAGCCACACGGGGACUGGGACACGCCCCAGACUCCGACGGGAGGCAGCAGUGGGGAAUUUUGGACAAGGGGGGAAACCCUGAUCCAGCCAGCCCGGGUAGAUGAGAGGGCCUUCGGUUGGUAAAGUACUUUGGGCAGGGAAGCGGUAUCUGCAGAAUAAGCACCGGCUAACUACGUGCCAGCAGCCGCGGUAAUAC